Molecule: unclassified non-coding RNA, 2949 nt
Filed under: Lucilia cuprina (Australian sheep blowfly)
Lineage: Eukaryota; Metazoa; Arthropoda; Insecta; Diptera; Calliphoridae
Description: dystrobrevin beta, transcript variant X5
Source: RNAcentral
UGAGUGAGCAAUACGAGAAGAAAGAAGACGGUGUGAAAAAGUGCACGCGAAUUUUUUCAAGUAAAAAAUUAGCAGGAAGAAUAGAUAAAUUAUUAUUUUUUCAUUGAGAAAUUUAUAUUGCAUGCAGAAACAAAUUAAAUAUAAUAAUGUUUCUAUUUAUUUGAGUGAAAUUAUGUAAAUAAGUAAAAAUAUUAAAAAAAUAUAUGUGGUGUUUGUGUAGUUGGAAAUAGAAAAAAGCUGUUGUUUUACUGGUGCUGUUGCUGCGCUGCUGCUGCGAAAUUGUCUGUUAUAAAAAAUUGUCCGUUUUUCUAUAAACAGAUUAUUUAUUGAUUCAUUAUGAUGGAACUGGAACCACGAGUUGCCUUGUUGCAAGACUUACGUUUACAAACUUUUGAUUCAAUACGCUUUGCUUCGUAUCGUACUGCUUCCAAAUUGCGUUAUAUUCAAAAGUCGACAAAUUUGCAUUUAGUUGAUAUAUGGAAUGUUAUUGAAGCUUUUCGUGAAAAUGGUUUAAAUACUUUGGAACCCCAGAGUGAUGUGAGUGUGGCCCGUUUAGAGACGCUGGUUUCAUCGCUGUAUCAUAAUCUGAACAAACGUUUACCGACUGCACAGCAGGUCCCGGUUGAUUCAAAGGCAGGACUAUUGCUUAAUUGGUUGCUAGCAGCAUAUACCAGUGACAAUUCUGGCAAAAUACGGGUGUUUUCUAUAAAAGUGGCUUUGGCUACGAUGUGUUCCGGCAAAUUGGUAGAUAAAUUAAGAUAUAUUUUUUCUCAGAUCUCGGAUGGUGCAGGUCAAUUGGUUAGCUGGAAAUUGGGUGAAUUUUUAAGAGAGGUGCUUGCUUUGCCUGCUGCUGUGUACGAAUCGCCUACUUUUCACUAUAAAGAGGGAUUGGAGGAACAGAUAUUCUCGUCAGAAAAUAAAGUUACUGUUAAUGAUUUCAUGGCAACACUUAUGUCUGAACCUGGCCCUUCGUGUCUCGUAUGGUUACCUUUGCUGCAUCGGUUGGCUACAGUUGAAACGAUUGUGCAUCCGACAAUCUGCUCUGUCUGUCACAAGGAAAACUUCACUGGCUUUCGUUACCGUUGUCAGCGGUGUCACGCCUACCAACUGUGCCAGGAAUGCUUUUGGCAUGGCAAGACAUCACUGAACCAUCAAAACGAUCACGAAGUCAAGGAAUAUUCAAGUUACAAAUCGCCCAGUAAACAGAUUGGUCAUUCGUUGCGCAAAAGUUUCCGAUGUGUGCCAGAGAAGACGACUCAAGUGUUGCCACGAUUUCCUGAACAGCCGGAGAAGACACUGAAUUUGUCACAUAUUGUGCCACCCUCACCACUGCCUUCGCAUAAUGGUUUCACUGAUCCGACAAUGCUUCAUGGCUUAGGUGGUGCUAUACCAGGAGGUGGGGGCGGAGGUCUACCCAGCGGUCUUAUGUUUGAUCGUUCUAGCACCAUCGAUUCACGAGCCACUGGACGAAGUAUUGACAGUGCGAAUGGUGUUUCAUCAUCGCGGGUGGCGGCUGCAUCAGCAAAUGAUGAAGAACAUCGUUUAAUAGCUCGAUAUGCAGCCCGACUUGCCCAGGAAAAUCGUGCACCAAGUAGCAGCAGUGCAGCCAAUGCCGACAAUCAGCAUCCAAUAGCUUCGGACAACUCACGUGCUCAACGGGAGCUUAUAACACAACUAGAAUCAAAAAAUAAAGAAAUUAUGCGUGAAAUCGCGAGGUUAAGGCGACAACAAGAAGCCGAACAAAUGGCACCUGAAAAUCCUGCUCUAAUUAGUGAGUUACGCGCUUUGCGUCAACGCAAAGGCGAACUCGAGGGCCACCUGGGAGCUUUGCAAGACUCACGACGGCAACUAAUGGAACAACUGGAGGGUCUAAUGCGAAUGUUAAAGAGUCAACAAACUUCUUCGCCCAGAUCCACACCAAAUUCUAGCCCUCGUUCUGGUAAAUCACCUCCCAUGCCUGGAGGCAGUCAUUCGGUUGUAGGCAGUGGUGGUAGCGGUGGUAUAAACACCCUGGGAACAUCUCCAAUUGGUUCAAUGCAUACCCAAUCGUCUGCCCACUCACUAAUGGGCACUGGGAAUGUGUUGCGCGUUCAACAGGCAGCCUCGUUAAAUCAAGGUUCGUUUAAUCCAAAUCAAAUGGAUCAUGUUAGUCCACAAAUGAGUGGCGAUAUGAGAGGAGGUUUUAGCACUAAUGGGAGUGGUAUUAAUCCAGAUGAAGGGUUUCAAAAUGCAAAUUAUGAGUUUUAUGAAGAAAUUUUUGAUUAUGAUCUCAAUCCAUUAUCGACACUUCUUAAUGACUCAAAUACAGACAUACGUCAUAUAGAAGGUGGUGAAUCAGAGGACGAAGAUGAAGAGUAUGAUAAUUUCGACAUGGAUUACAGCUUUGGUCGUCUAAAUCUUGGUGAUAGUGGCAUUUUGAGCCUACAACAACAAUAUGAAACAUAUUUAAACUCUCAACAUGACAAAUGCGACGACCCCGAGGAAAUAAUUGAGUUUCAUCUUGUGAAUGAUACCGACAUUGAGUUAGAUUCCGAUCUUGAUAUUGCCGAAGAACAGGCUAACAUAAAUCGUAUAAUGGGAUAUAAAAACUAUCCAGAAAUCCUAAUCGAUGAUCCGGAUGCUGGUUUUCCCCUACUGCAUGAAAUCGGUGAGACAAUCGAUGAAUUGCAGUUAAUUAUGCACGCCCAUAUUAUGAAAUAUAGUUUGAGUUUAUAAAAAAAAUAUUCAAUGUUAAUACAUAAAUAUUGUCGUUGUUUUUACUGUUACUGUUCUGUUACUGUUACUCUUACAAUUGCUCUAUUUAAAACAAAUCCCAAGAUUUUGAUGACCCUCAAUCAAUCGAUUGGACGGAUAAGACUAAUUCAAGCAGCAGCCAAUGGCAGGAACAAUUCGCCCAGUGGUCUUUACAUACUCAAAAGAACUAAUUCCAUGUUUAUUGUUAUUUAAAAA